UAAUAUUAUGAUGUUUAAUAUUUUUAUAAUUAUAUAAAAUGUAAAUGUUGUUAAUUUAUUAUUUAACCGCUGUUGAAUCAGUCAUAAGUGUCACGCAAAUGCAUUAAUUUCUAAUCGCAGUACCAGUCGUACAAAUCUCGUAAAAUCAUUUAUAACCGCAACGAUCCGCAUCCGCAAACUCAUUCAACCGCAACCGCUGCAGUUACACCAGUCAAGCCCUUAGUCGUAUGAUAAUUGUUAAAUGUAUUUUAAGGAAUGCAUAUUUUGUGGAAAUUUCAAAUCUAAAUUAUCUUCCGAGAAAAUCUUCCUUUGGAGAUAAGAUAUCUUUCUUAAAAUGUAGAUUUAUGGGUGAGUAUUUCAAAAGAAACAUGCUGAAUAAAGUAAGGAAUCAUUGUGAAACAGUGAAUUCUCCUCAUCAAUUUAUCUUGGCAUAUUUAGAAAAGGAAAGAAAGAAAUUUUAGAAAAGGUUGACCGGGUGAUUGUGGUCGAGUGGUAAGGAGACGGGACUUAGACGCCAAAACGUUUCAGGUUCGAUCCACCUGCUGCGCGAAACUAAGUCACAAUUAUCUUGGUCACCUAACACGGAUAUGGGCCUAUGCUUGACCAUGCACUUCCCCUUGGAGAUUAGUCUGACCCUUUCCAUGGGCCCGGGAUACCCCAAGGUUAAUCAAAAAAAAAAAAAAAAAUUAGAAAAGGUUUGUUGAAAGAAAAAAAAUAUUUUACAAAAGAUUUAUUUGUUUCUCUUAAAAUAUGUAUCCAUAAAAAAAAACAAAAGGAGGCGAGAUAGUGAGGUUAUGAUUUAGGCAGGAAUGAGACUGAAUGUAUUGGAGGAUUUAUUUUUUAGCAGAACUGAGUUUGAAAUCUGAAAUCCGAAAUCCGAAGCUCUCACCGUUGAGUGCUGCGUCUAUCUCAAUCUCCGGUCAUUUCGCCGGUAAGACUCGAUCUAUUUGUAUGUGUAUCUCCGUCUACUUGGUUUGAAUUGUUUUAUUGGUUUGAAUAUAUUUCAAUCUCUUUAAUCCAGUUUCACUGCCUUCUUCAUUCCCACCUUUUGUAGACGAUUCAGAAAUUCAGAUUAGUGAUUCAAUGAAUGCUUAUUUCUAUUUAAAGUUUCGAUCUUUUCUUUUUGUUUAUACAAUCUUGAUAAUGGGUUCGGCGACUACAGCUUCAGAGUUUAUGUUACUGGUUGAUAACUGCGAGUUUUGUGUGUGUUUAUUCAAGGCUCUUUGCCUCCUGAGCUUGCUAACAAUGUGGUUAGGUUGUAGCGUGAAUGUCUUCGUAGAGACACAUUCAUUGGUAAGCAGUUGAGAUUUUAUGUUCUUUGAAUAUGAGCUUGCUUUUUCAGAUUUAGACACUUGAGCUCCCUCGAUCACUUUAAUGGCGAUUUCAUAGUCUGUCACACAUGACCUAUAUAUGGGGUCUUGAGCAGAAGAACGAGUUGAAGAAAAUUUGAAAAUACGUUUCUUGUGAGUUGUGACAAAGCAUUUGCCUUGAAUAUUGUGGAGGAAGGGUCUGAAUAUUUUAUCGUCUAAAUGUUUCAUCACCGAGAAAAACAAAGAAACCUUUGGUAAUGAAUGUUGUUUUAUUUAUCGGCUGAGUUUGACCCCAAAAACAAUUGUUGCCUGAGUAUUUGAAUUAGGGAAUAAAAACCAUCAAAAUGAUACUAACACCGACAC
This is a long non-coding RNA of Brassica napus (rape), 1673 nucleotides long. RefSeq lists it as uncharacterized. The transcript is spliced from 2 exons. Lineage: Eukaryota; Viridiplantae; Streptophyta; Magnoliopsida; Brassicales; Brassicaceae. The record is from RefSeq and is a predicted model, not a curated record.